GAAGUUUCUACUUAAAUCUCACGGCUCAACCGUGAAUCUGGUAGGAAACUCUCGAGCUAGAGAAUAGUAGAGGUACCUGGAAUUUCCAAUGUAGGGGUAAUAUCCGUAGAUAUUGGAAGGAAUACCAAUGGCGUAGGCAGGGUACUGGACUAUUUCUGACGCUGAGGCACGAAAGCGUGGGGAGCGAACCGGAUUAGAUACCCGGGUAGUCCACGCCGUAAACGAUGGAUGCUA
This 234-nucleotide ribosomal RNA is filed under the name uncultured Candidatus Saccharibacteria bacterium. Its description in RNAcentral is "partial 16S ribosomal RNA". It matches the Rfam family "Bacterial small subunit ribosomal RNA", at positions 584 to 818 of the family's 1533-position model. The record is from RNAcentral. Lineage: Bacteria; Candidatus Saccharimonadota.